GUGUGUUUCUGUGUCUCCCGGUCCAGGUUGCUCUCCCAGCAGUGUGUGUUUCUGUGUCUCCUGGUCCAGGCUGCUCUCCCAGCAGUGUGUGUUUCUGUGUCUCCUGGUCCAGGCUGCUCUCCCAGCAGUGUGUGUUUCUGUGUCUCCUGGUCCAGGCUGCUCUCCCAGCAGUGUGUGUUUCUGUGUCUCCCGGUCCAGGUUGCUCUCCCAGCAGUGUGUGUUUCUGUGUCUCCCGGUCCAGGCUGCUCUCC
This is a non-coding RNA of Pelobates cultripes (western spadefoot toad), 251 nucleotides long. NCBI's taxonomy places the organism in Eukaryota, Metazoa, Chordata, Amphibia, Anura, Pelobatidae. The record is from the annotation of a GenBank genome assembly.